GGCCAGCACUUUAAAAUCCUCAGAUAUGUCCCAUUCUCCUGUUCUGGUUAGGAGGCAAGAAGCCAUGUCAAAAGAAAUGUCAUCAGGAAAGGUAUCAUUAUGGAUAUUUGCAGAGACCUGGAUACUUUCAUAAAAUCUCAUUUGAACAAUGCAGAAAUAUAAAAGUGAAGAUGAAGCUGGGUGAACUAAAGAUGUGUAUGCCUGUAGCCUUCAUUAAAAAGACUUUUUGCAGUGGACACCCUGGGAUGCUGCCUAGAGCACCAUUGUCAGCUCCAUGGUCACUUGACUCCCUUUCUUACCGUGCAAAGAUCUUUCAUUGUCUUUUCUUCACCCGAGGUUUUUCUGUCUUUUUUGUUUGCUCUUUGCUCUGUUGUUUCGUUGAUCCAUGCUCUAGCAGGUUCCCACACAGAGAAUUCCCACCAUUCCCACCACCACCUAUCAUCCCCAUUCCAUAAAAAGCAUCCAAGUGAUAAUAUGGUCGUUUCCCCUGUAAUUGAUACCACUUUAUUGUGCUUUCCUUAAGUAUGAACUGCUUAAGACCUGUUUAUUCUGUCUUGAGAAAUGGCCUGCAGAAUAGGAUCCCAUAUAUAUAUGAAUUUUAAAAAGGACCAAAAUAUCAUGUUACACUCAUGAGAUACUUGUUAAGGCUAAUUCUUAGCUGCAUGAUUAAUUAUGUAAGGUAAAUAACUAAUUUAUAAAUUAAACAUGCAUGCAACUUUUUAAUGUACAUAAGUAAUUAUUUAAUUUGUUCAUGUAUUCUUUUAGAAUUUCCAGUUAAACUAUUAUAAUUAAUGCUAUUUUAAGAGCAAAUGAGUGUAAAAUUGCAGAUGUCUUUGAGGGAACAGACUUCACUUAGGCAGGAGGUGGUAAUUGAAAUAAUUGAACUUCACAUUGUAGUUAAAUUUGCCUCCUGCUUCUUUCUUUAAACAGUCACAAAAGAAUAUGGAAUUAAGCCCUUUAAACUCUCAGAUGAGAUUAAUUUCAUGUCAGUGUACUUGAGACAAAGAUAAAAGAAGAGUGCUUCAAAUGGGGCUUCCAUGUUCUUCCUCACAAAACAACUCCUGCUAUAACAAAUCUUUCUGACAGGACUUUCUCUCUGGAUAUAUAAAAAGGCAAGGCUGUGUACUGUCAGAAACUGGCAGGCCUCAGGACUGGUUUUUCCAUACAUUUCAAAAUGCUGAUGUGUCUGUGAGGCCUUUUCCUUGGAACAGGAGGCACACAGUCCUGGGAGCCAGACACCCUUCCUGUGAAUGCCCCUCACAAGCUGAGGGGGCAGCCCUGGGUGCAGGGAGGCUCUGGCUAUAGCAGUCUCCAGCCACUACCCCAUCCCUGAUGUGCCUGCUCCACUCUACAGAGCAACACCCAGGCAAGCUAGAUGGGUAUUCCCAUCUGUCUCUGGCAGCAAAAACAGCUGAGGGGGCUUUGUUCUUGCCUUUUGCCGUGCUUCAAUCACAU
RNAcentral lists this long non-coding RNA (1455 nucleotides) under Cyanistes caeruleus (blue tit). RNAcentral's name for it is "lncRNA (ENSCCEG00000020009.1)". The record is from RNAcentral. Lineage: Eukaryota; Metazoa; Chordata; Aves; Passeriformes; Paridae.